UGGCAAGGCUGACAUAGAUUUUGCUGAUUUGUCUGCUUAUGAGUGGACAGGAUGCCAGUCUGGCAGUUUGCAUUGGCAAUAAAUCACCACUAGACAUUUUAUUUAAAAUUUGGCACUGGCUUGGAAGAGGUGAGGGAUUGUCAAUUUGUUUUUAUUUUGAAGCCAGGCACAAUCAUAACACAAACAGGCCACCUGGAAAC
This is an unclassified non-coding RNA of Cricetulus griseus (Chinese hamster), 200 nucleotides long. Ensembl annotates it as viral integration site 1. The record is from Ensembl. NCBI's taxonomy places the organism in Eukaryota, Metazoa, Chordata, Mammalia, Rodentia, Cricetidae.